RNAcentral lists this long non-coding RNA (221 nucleotides) under Panax ginseng (ginseng). RNAcentral describes it as "long non-coding RNA (PGIN_LNC013004)". The record is from RNAcentral. Lineage: Eukaryota; Viridiplantae; Streptophyta; Magnoliopsida; Apiales; Araliaceae.
CCGAACUAGUCGACUUGACUUGUACUCCUAAACGGCUAAACUAGAUGCUGAAAUAGUCUUUACAAAAUAAAAUAAUGUCAGUGAUGACUCAAUUACUAUUACUUUCUUUUAAAAGAAAGUUCUCUCUCACCUGUUAAUGCCAUAACUAAUAUCUCCUCUGGCUGAAGCAUAGACUUAACCCCCAAAUAAAUCCAGGGGAAGGCCUCUCGGUUAAUCCACCC